RNAcentral lists this ribosomal RNA (439 nucleotides) under uncultured bacterium. Its description in RNAcentral is "partial 16S ribosomal RNA". It matches the Rfam family "Bacterial small subunit ribosomal RNA", at positions 339 to 795 of the family's 1533-position model. The record is from RNAcentral.
CUACGGGUGGCACCAGUGAGGAAUAUUGCACAAUGGAGGAAACUCUGAUGCAGCAACGCCGCGUGGAGGAUGACGCAUUUCGGUGUGUAAACUCCUUUUAUAUGUCAAGAAAAUGACGGUAGCAUAUGAAUAAGCUCCGGCUAACUCCGUGCCAGCAGCCGCGGUAAUACGGAGGGAGCAAGCGUUACUCGGAAUCACUGGGCGUAAAGGACGCGUAGGCGGGAUAGAAAGUCAGGUGUGAAAUCCUAUGGCUCAACCAUAGAACUGCACUUGAAACUUCUAACCUAGAGUAUGGGAGGGGAAGAUGGAAUUAGUGGUGUAGGGGUAAAAUCCGUAGAUAUCACUAGGAAUACCAAAAGCGAAGGCGAUCUUCUGGAACAAUACUGACGCUAAGGCGUGAAAGCGUGGGGAGCAAACAGGAUUAGAUACCCCCGUAGUC